CAUUAGUGUAUAUUAAAGUUGUUGCGGUUAAAAGCUCGUAGUUGGAUUUCUGUCGGGGAUGGCCGGUCCGGUCUAAGACUGUGUAUCAGGUCCAGCCUUGGCAUCCUCGUAUUCUUGCGAUCAUUAAUUUGGUUGUGGGUGUGCGACUUUUACUUUGAGGAAAUUAGAGUGUUCACGGCAGGCUUUCGCCCUGAAUAUAUUAGCAUGGAAUAAUGGAAUAGGACCUCGGUUCUAUUUUGUUGGUUUUCGGAACUUGAGGUAAUGAUUAAGAGGGACAGACGGGGGCAUUCGUAUGAUGGUGUUAGAGGUGAAAUUCUUGGAUCGCCGUCAGACGAACUACUGCGAAAGCAUUUGCCAAGAAUGUUUUCAUUAAUCAAGAACGAAAGUCAGAGGUUCGAAGAUGAUUAGAUACCAU
RNAcentral lists this ribosomal RNA (415 nucleotides) under uncultured eukaryote. Its description in RNAcentral is "bacterial SSU rRNA". It matches the Rfam family "Eukaryotic small subunit ribosomal RNA", at positions 592 to 1018 of the family's 1831-position model. The record is from RNAcentral.